This is a non-coding RNA of Microcebus murinus (gray mouse lemur), 2380 nucleotides long. The record is from RefSeq and is a predicted model, not a curated record. Lineage: Eukaryota; Metazoa; Chordata; Mammalia; Primates; Cheirogaleidae.
ACUGUAGCAGCGGCAGGUGGGAGAACGCUCCAUCCUGGAUCUCUGAGAAGGCGGCAUUCACCAGGGUCCUGCGGGGACACCCAAGAGCUGAAAAGGGAAAUGUAGCCGCUGGAGCGGGAGUGGGACGUGUGGAAUUCUGGAACAUUUCUCGCUAUACAACCACAGCCUGUUGGAGCUGGGAAGCGCUUUGGACCUUUUCCAGUGCAGCCCUUUAUAACAAAUGAGGAAACUGAGGCCCCCCCAAAAGGGGACAGCUAAGUUUGUCAUUGCAUCCACAGUGUGUUGUGUUCUGUCUGCGGUUAAUCCUCCCCACCUUGGUGGUAGGUGAUCUUAAUCCCCUUUCACAGACAAGAAAAGUGAGGCCUGUAGGACCGGAAGAAAAAAAAAUGGCAGAGCAAAGAUUUAAGCCCACUCUGCCCAACUUCCACGUUCACAGUCGCCCUUCUACGCCAGGGGUCUUCCAAGUGUGGCCCUGGGAACCAGGGGCCUUGAGAAUCCUUCAGGGAGUCUUUGAGGUCAAAACAAUUUUCCUAAUAAUGUUAAGCCAUUAUUCUCCCCUUUUAUUUCCAAGAGCUCACAAAAGUGCCCUGGAAUUUUCCAGAGGCUACAAGGAUGUGUCUUCUCUUAAGCCCCAAAUGAAAGAGAUUUGCAAACAUGUAAAGCAAGGACACUCUUCUCUCUAGUUUUCUUUUGGGCUUUGUAAAAUAGUUAUUUUCAUUUAGAAAUGUAUGUGAUUUAUGUCAUAACAUAUAAUGAGUUUAUUAUUGCUAUUAUAAAUUAAUAAUAAUGGAAAAAUUUCCCAGUCAAUAUCAAUAGAUAGAACCCACAUGCAUAAACAUAAGCUCUUUGGGGUCCUCCAUACUUUUUAAGAGUGUCCAGGGGCCCUGAAACCACAAAGUUUGAGAACAGCUGUUCUAUACCACGUUAAUUCCCUGGGGCAGGGGUGACUAUCCUAAGAGCUCAUGGGUACAGGGCACAGGGAGCCUGGCAGUCAGGUGCUGGGGUUCCCAGUCUUGGGUUCUUUGCACAUCAGUCCAGGGAACCGAGACUGCUGCAUUUAAGAUGUUUCCCCAGCUGUCCCCAGCCUCUGCCAGCAGGGGAUUCUCUGGUCUGAGCUUAAGUCUGUGUUCUCCCAGCCAGGGAUGCCCCUGCCCUUUGAUGUCCACUGGCUACUGCCCGUCCAGCUGCCCUGCCGCCCUCCUCAUGCCAGCAUGUGGGGAGGGAAGCAAGGGGGUGGAGAGAGUGGCUGGGGCAGCUGGGCGACCGUCCCCACCCGUCCCUGGCACAGCUCUGCCCAGCACACAAAGGGCAGAGUGAAUCGUGUCCCGUUCCCUGCAGCUGAAGGGCUGGGUGGGGAAAGGGGAGGCACACAGAAAAGAGGGGGCCAGCCAGGAGCUCUCCAUCCGCUAUGGCUCUCAGAGGGGGUAACCUAGAGACAGACAGAAAGGGGGAGUCUGGGUCAUAUUCUUAGCUAGCAAGAGGUGCCCCAGGGGAUGCAGUAGAUGAUGAUCGUGACGACGAUUGGAUUUAACACCUGUAAUGUCCUUGGAUCCUCACAACAGUGAGGUGGACAGGCAGUACCAGGUCCAUGUCCCAGAUGAACAUACUGAAGCCUUAAAAAGCAUAAUGACUCACUCUGGGCCCCAGAGCUGGCCAGGAGAAGCCCUGAGACCUCCACGUACUGAAGCAAUGAACUACCCACCGAUCGACAAGAGCCCCUUGCGCUCUUGUCUUAUCAUUAUAAGAUGGAGUCUUAUCAUUGAAUAUAAUUAAACGUCAGCUGUGAGCAUGCUCCUUGCCUGGUGGCAUGUUCAAAGAAGCCUGGAGAAAGUAUGUCCCUUUCCUUCCCAGGGCCCCAGUGUGGCUGGGAAGAUGGGACCACAGAAAGCACCCAUGUCAUGGUUGACAAGAACACCCGUGUGUGCUACACGGCAGGUGAAGGUGCCGCAGAGAGGAGGAGGAUUUCAGAGGCAGGAGGGCACCGUGGGCUGGGAGCCCACGACCUCCAGCAGCUUGGUGCGAGCAGCAUCUGAAGGUCACUUGUGGAACUUGAAGGCGCCCUUCCCCAGCCCCCAAGCAGCAAAAAUGGGUUUGAGAAGCCAGGAAGCCUGCGAGCUGUCCUGAGGGCUACAGGGAGGGAGACUGAGGACCCGGGAGAGCAGAGGCUUCUCUUGAGGAAAGAGACCCCUUUCCCAGCACCCAGCGAUGAUGGGGAGCCCUACCCACAGUGCCUGCUCAGAACUAGCCCCACGGCUGGGCAACACAGCCCCCCGAGAUGCCCGCAGGGACUCCAAGAUGCCUGCAGUUCUUGGCUCUCCCGCUGGCCACGGCCCAUCUGGCUUGCGCCCAGUACGCGUGAGUCAGCCAAUCAAUCCCAAUG